CAUUAGAUGGCUGAAAGUAAGUAAUGGUCUCUUAAACCAUUUUAUAGUAUCUAACGUUUACUUCUAAUGA
This 70-nucleotide transfer RNA is filed under the name Staphylinidae sp. BMNH 1274656. Its description in RNAcentral is "tRNA-Lys". Lineage: Eukaryota; Metazoa; Arthropoda; Insecta; Coleoptera; Staphylinidae. The record is from RNAcentral.